ACGAACGCUGGCGGCGUGCUUAACACAUGCAAGUCGAACGGAAAGGCCCUGCUUUUGUGGGGUGCUCGAGUGGCGAACGGGUGAGUAACACGUGAGUAACCUGCCCUUGACUUUGGGAUAACUUCAGGAAACUGGGGCUAAUACCGGAUAGGAGCUCCUGCUGCAUGGUGGGGGUUGGAAAGUUUCGGCGGUUGGGGAUGGACUCGCGGCUUAUCAGCUUGUUGGUGGGGUAGUGGCUUACCAAGGCUUUGACGGGUAGCCGGCCUGAGAGGGUGACCGGCAAAAGGGGGAAGGAGAAAGGGCCAGAACGCAGGGGGGGGGAAGAGGGGGGAAUUAUGGAAAAAGGGGGGGAGGCCGAAGGAAGAAACGCCGGGGGGGGGAGGAGGGCCUUGGGGUUUAAACCCGUUUGCGCCGGGGAAGAAGGGUGAGGGAGGAAAGGGGAAAAAGAAGAACGGGAAAAAUAGGUG
This 467-nucleotide ribosomal RNA is filed under the name uncultured bacterium. RNAcentral describes it as "partial 16S ribosomal RNA". It matches the Rfam family "Bacterial small subunit ribosomal RNA", at positions 29 to 507 of the family's 1533-position model. The record is from RNAcentral.